RNAcentral lists this transfer RNA (72 nucleotides) under Cricetulus griseus (Chinese hamster). It matches the Rfam family "tRNA". From Rfam's summary of the family: Transfer RNA (tRNA) molecules are approximately 80 nucleotides in length. Their secondary structure includes four short double-helical elements and three loops (D, anti-codon, and T loops). The record is from Rfam by way of RNAcentral. Lineage: Eukaryota; Metazoa; Chordata; Mammalia; Rodentia; Cricetidae.
GGAAAGUUGGCUCAGAGGUUAAGAGCACUGACAGCUUUUCUAGAAAACCUGGGUUCAAUUCCCAGCAAUCCA